Molecule: ribosomal RNA, 326 nt
Filed under: uncultured eukaryote
Lineage: Eukaryota
Description: partial 18S ribosomal RNA
Rfam family: Eukaryotic small subunit ribosomal RNA
Source: RNAcentral
CCCUUAGAUGUUCUGGGCCGCACGCGCGCUACACUGAUGCAUUCAACAAGCCUAGCCUUGACCGAGAGGUCCGGGUAAUCUUUGAAACUGCAUCGUGAUGGGGCUAGAUUAUUGCAAUUAUUAAUCUUCAACGAGGAAUGCCUAGUAAGCGUGAUUCAUCAAAUCGCGUUGAUUACGUCCCUGCCCUUUGUACACACCGCCCGUCGCUCCUACCGAUUGAAUGUGUUGGUGAGGAGCUCGGAUUGGCAGCAGUUGGUGGUUCGCCGUCUGUUGGCUGCGGGAAGUUCGUUAAACCUUAUCAUUUAGAGGAAGGAGAAGUCGUAACA